Long non-coding RNA from Mesocricetus auratus (golden hamster), 608 nucleotides. RefSeq lists it as uncharacterized. NCBI's taxonomy places the organism in Eukaryota, Metazoa, Chordata, Mammalia, Rodentia, Cricetidae. The transcript has 3 exons. The record is from RefSeq and is a predicted model, not a curated record.
CCAUGCUUAUGGCUGAGAGGUGAUGGCAGAUCUUUUUCUGCUGAGCAUUGACUAAGAUGAAGCGCGGGGCUUAGUGGGCAGCUGAAAUCGGAGACGCGUGCCUCAGAGAGCAGGAUGGAGCCUCAGAUCGGAGGCUUUUCCAGGCCGCGUCGUCUGUCACUCUGCCCUCUGCCCGACACCACACCUGCUCACCAGACCUCGGAUAGCCUUCUGGAAGUGUCAGAAGAACACGCCUAGGGAAAUACUGAGCCCCAUCGGUUCCUACGGAAAAAAGAUGAUAAAAGUCAGCUGCCACAUUAUGAGAAGCCUUGUGGAGAGACCCUUGGACAAGAAAGUGAGAGAGACUGCUCCACCCACCAAAUCCUGUGAGGAAGUGAGUCCUGCUCAUAGCUAUGCCAAUGGCCUUGGAAGCAGCUCCUGUCCUUCAUGAACCAAGUCUCCUCUAACUCUGGAUGACAUCUCAGCUGCAAUCAGAGGAUUCAGAGUCAGAGGAGCCAUCUAAAUCAAGUUUGAUUCUUUUUGAUAUGGGAAUGGUGAGUUAUAAAUGCAAACUGUGUUAAAACGCAAGGUUUCAGAGCAAUUUGUUACACAGCCAUGCAUAAAGUCGU